CGGGUGAGUAACACGUGAGCAAUCUGCCCUAUACAACGGGAUAACACAGAGAAAUUUGUGCUAAUACGGUAUAAGACCACAGUAUCGCAUGAUACAGGGGUAAAAGAUUUAUCGGUAUAGGAUGGGCUCGCGACCCAUUAGCUAGUUGGUGAGGUAACGGCCCACCAAGGCAACGAUGGGUAGCCGACCUGAGAGGGUGAUCGGCCACACUGGGACUGAGACACGGCCCAGACUCCUACGGGAGGCAGCAG
This 251-nucleotide ribosomal RNA is filed under the name uncultured bacterium. Its description in RNAcentral is "partial 16S ribosomal RNA". It matches the Rfam family "Bacterial small subunit ribosomal RNA", at positions 103 to 354 of the family's 1533-position model. The record is from RNAcentral.